Long non-coding RNA from Suricata suricatta (meerkat), 302 nucleotides. RefSeq lists it as uncharacterized. The transcript is spliced from 3 exons. Lineage: Eukaryota; Metazoa; Chordata; Mammalia; Carnivora; Herpestidae. The record is from RefSeq and is a predicted model, not a curated record.
GUUUCCACUAAUUCCUUCCUUUUACACAGGGGGAAGAUGAGGCCCAGAAAGGAGUCCUUUGGGCACACCUGAGCGUAUGCUAGGCUGGGGAUCCUUCAUAGCUUCGUGAUGGAGCUGGUCACGUGGAAGACAGAGUGAUCAGAAGAUUGGAAUUUUCAGUCCUGUCCGUUAAUCCCUGGAAAGGAGUCCUCACAGCUUAUUUACAUGGAUCUGUCAAAGUUGGCAGAAAAUGUCUUCUAGGACUUCAAGAUAGAUGAUGACGACAUGGGGAAAGAAACCUCGGCAAUACUGUGGUGAAAAAC